Molecule: long non-coding RNA, 191 nt
Filed under: Fukomys damarensis (Damara mole-rat)
Lineage: Eukaryota; Metazoa; Chordata; Mammalia; Rodentia; Bathyergidae
Description: lncRNA (ENSFDAG00000022608.1)
Source: RNAcentral
GGAAGAUAUACGUGGCAACAUGAGUAAUGAAGGCUCACCCAGGGUUUAGCAUUUUGAGGUUCUAUGCAGAAGUCUUAACUCAGAAACAGCAUAGAUUGUGGAUUCCACAGCCUGAGGAAGAUGAAAUGGGAAGAUGUGAGAUGGCUACAAAAUAUCGGUCAAAUUCACUGAAUACCAAGUCCCCAUCAGAG